Long non-coding RNA from Carassius gibelio (silver crucian carp), 372 nucleotides. RefSeq lists it as uncharacterized. Lineage: Eukaryota; Metazoa; Chordata; Actinopteri; Cypriniformes; Cyprinidae. The record is from RefSeq and is a predicted model, not a curated record. The transcript is spliced from 2 exons.
AUAUAAGUAGACGCCCUAUUGGCCGCUGGGCGACGAGAUUUGCGGCCGCCAUCUUGAACCGGUCGUACUCCUAGUUUCGUUGCGUAGCAGCAGUUAAGAUGCCAGAGCACUGUGCAGCAUUUUCCUGUUCUAAUCGGCGGAGCAUCGCAAGUACGGCUCGGGAUUACUUUUCACAAGUGCUGAGAGCUGCAGAGAGGGUGAUCCGCCAAGCUUCAGCAAUACAAGCUCCUCAGGUGUCAACAGUCACAGAAGAGAGAGUGUGUGUGUGUGUGUGUGUGUGUGAGAGAGAGAGAGAGAGAGAGAACCAGUGUAUAUGUCACAAAUUAUAAUAAAUUGUUUCUUCAACUUAUUAAAUAUCUUAUUUUACUGCAA